AGAGUGGUUCCGUGGCUGUGAGCAUUUUUCCAAUUGAAUUAAGUGUCAUUUCAUAUAUCCUGAAGAUAGAAAAAAACUGUGUUAGCCACCAAAGGUCCCUCUGCCCUUUUUAACAAGGAGAAAAUGGAAGUCCAAAAUACAGAGCAGAUCCUGGUGUUGAAGCAGGUCUCUUGGAAUAGAACUGAGACCGUUUCCUGUGUAUUAUACAGUUGGAAAGGACAAAACACUGAAGACAGGAAGAGUGAAGUACCAAUUUCUGCUAUUGAAGUGGGGACAGAGCCCAGCUGACAGUGUAAAGGAGUCAGAGAAGGGAGUCUCUGGGAAUUCUAUACCAUCAGGACUGUUGUGACCCGAGUGAGAGAGGGUUUGUAGACUUGCGCCUUGGUGGUGAUAACAGCAUUCGGGGAUUUCUGAUGGAAUACGGCUGCUGGCAAAUGCAUCUCGAGCUGAAAUGAUUGGAUGGGAAGUUAAGAAAUUCUACAAAACAGAGGCCAAGUUGGACUGUGAGAUUGUUUGUGGUCCUACAUUUGUGCAGGCUUGUAAUUAUGUGAUUAUCAUUGUUGUAUCGAUUAUUUAAAGUGAAAUUUAGCUCUUUGAAUUAUCUGCUGCUGCUUGUAGCUACUCCUACCAGAAGAUCUGCUGUCAGGGUAUAUUCUUCAGCUGUUAAUUAAUGUUUGAUUUACAGUGAUUUUAGU
Carcharodon carcharias (great white shark) is the source of this 695-nucleotide long non-coding RNA. RefSeq lists it as uncharacterized. Lineage: Eukaryota; Metazoa; Chordata; Chondrichthyes; Lamniformes; Lamnidae. The record is from RefSeq and is a predicted model, not a curated record. The transcript has 3 exons.